Molecule: ribosomal RNA, 415 nt
Filed under: Listeria monocytogenes
Lineage: Bacteria; Bacillati; Bacillota; Bacilli; Caryophanales; Listeriaceae
Description: partial 23S ribosomal RNA
Rfam family: Bacterial large subunit ribosomal RNA
Source: RNAcentral
AGUAAAUUGGUUAAGUUAGAAAGGGCGCACGGUGGAUGCCUUGGCACUAGGAGCCGAAGAAGGACGGGACUAACACCGAUAUGCUUUGGGGAGCUGUACGUAAGCGUUGAUCCAGAGAUUUCCGAAUGGGGGAACCCACUAUCUUUAGUCGGAUAGUAUCCUUACGUGAAUACAUAGCGUGAGGAAGGCAGACCCAGGGAACUGAAACAUCUAAGUACCUGGAGGAAGAGAAAGAAAAAUCGAUUUCCUGAGUAGCGGCGAGCGAAACGGAAAGAGCCCAAACCAAGAAGCUUGCUUCUUGGGGUUGUAGGACACUCUAUACGGAGUUACAAAAGAAAGUUAUAAAUGAAGCGGUCUGGAAAGGCCCGCCAAAGACGGUAACAGCCCGGUAGUUGAAAUGGCUUUCCCUCCAGAG